AGUGAACGCUGGCGGUAGGCCUAACACAUGCAAGUCGAACGGCAGCACAGUAAGAGCUUGCUCUUACGGGUGGCGAGUGGCGGACGGGUGAGGAAUACAUCGGAAUCUACUUUUUCGUGGGGGAUAACGUAGGGAAACUUACGCUAAUACCGCAUACGACCUACGGGUGAAAGCAGGGGAUCUUCGGACCUUGCGCGAUUGAAUGAGCCGAUGUCGGAUUAGCUAGUUGGCGGGGUAAAGGCCCACCAAGGCGACGAUCCGUAGCUGGUCUGAGAGGAUGAUCAGCCACACUGGAGCUGAGACACGGUCCAGACUCCGACGGGAGGCAGAAGUGGGGAAUAUUGGACAAUGGGCGCAAGCCUGAUCCAGCCAUACCGCGUGGGUGAAGAAGGCCUGCGGGUUGUAAAGCCCUUUUGUUGGGAAAGAAAAGCAGCAGGUUAAUACCCCGCUGUUCGGACGGUACCCAAAGAAUAAGCACCGGCUAACUGCGU
Molecule: ribosomal RNA, 491 nt
Filed under: uncultured bacterium
Lineage: Bacteria
Description: partial 16S ribosomal RNA
Rfam family: Bacterial small subunit ribosomal RNA
Source: RNAcentral